This 283-nucleotide ribosomal RNA is filed under the name uncultured prokaryote. RNAcentral describes it as "partial 16S ribosomal RNA". It matches the Rfam family "Bacterial small subunit ribosomal RNA", at positions 524 to 817 of the family's 1533-position model. The record is from RNAcentral.
UACGUAGGGGGCGAGCGUUGUCCGGAAUUAUUGGGCGUAAAGGGUUCGUAGGCGGUUAUUUAAGUCAGAUGUGAAAGGCAUAGGCUCAACCUGUGUAAGCAUUUGAAACUGAGUAACUUGAGUUAAGGAGAGGAAAGUGGAAUUCCUAGUGUAGCGGUGAAAUGCGUAGAUAUUAGGAGGAAUACCAGUGGCGAAGGCGACUUUCUGGACUUAUACUGACGCUGAGGAACGAAAGCGUGGGGAGCAAACAGGAUUAGAUACCCGGGUAGUCCCUGAGCGGGCU